AGUGACAAGAAAUAACAAUACGGGGCUCAACGCCUUGUAAUUGGAAUGAUGGGAACCUAAACCCCUUCCAGAGUAUCAAUUGGAGGGCAAGUCUGGUGCCAGCAGCCGCGGUAAUUCCAGCUCCAAUAGCGUAUAUUAAAAUUGUUGCAGUUAAAAAGCUCGUAGUUGAAUUUCUGCCGCAUCGCGGCGGCCCUCCCGGGCCCAGCGUUGCGGCUUAUUUCGGACUCGCUUGCGUCUCCGAAUGUUUACUUUGAGAAAAUUAKAGUGCUCAAAGCAGGCCCUUGCCUUGAAUACUUUAGCAUGGAAUAAUAAAGUAGGACUUUGGUUCUAUUUUGUUGGUUUAGCGCCAAAGUAAUGGUUAAUAGGAACAGUUGGGGGCAUUCGUAUUUAACUGUCAGAGGUGAAAUUCUUAGA
RNAcentral lists this ribosomal RNA (414 nucleotides) under Theileria mutans. Its description in RNAcentral is "SSU rRNA". The record is from RNAcentral. Lineage: Eukaryota; Apicomplexa; Aconoidasida; Piroplasmida; Theileriidae.